Molecule: ribosomal RNA, 253 nt
Filed under: uncultured bacterium
Lineage: Bacteria
Description: partial 16S ribosomal RNA
Rfam family: Bacterial small subunit ribosomal RNA
Source: RNAcentral
UACAGAGGUCCCAAGCGUUGUUCGGAUUCACUGGGCGUAAAGGGUGCGUAGGUGGUGAGGUAAGUCGGAUGUGAAAUCUCCGAGCUCAACUCGGAAAUGGCAUUGGAAACUACCUUGCUAGAGGAUUGGAGGGGAGACUGGAAUGCUUGGUGUAGCAGUGAAAUGCGUAGAUAUCAAGCGGAACACCAGUGGCGAAGGCGAGUCUCUGGACAAUUCCUGACACUGAGGCACGAAAGCCAGGGGAGCAAACGGG